Non-coding RNA from Triticum aestivum (bread wheat), 115 nucleotides. Lineage: Eukaryota; Viridiplantae; Streptophyta; Magnoliopsida; Poales; Poaceae. The record is from Rfam.
UUAGUACUCCCUCCGUUCGGAAUUACUCGUCCAGAAAAUGAAUGUAUCUAGAUGUAUUUUAGUUGUAGAUACAUCCAUUUUUGUGACAAGUAAUUCCGAACGGAGGGAGUAAUAU